GAUGAACGCUGACAGAAUGCUUAACACAUGCAAGUCAACUUGAACUUCGGUUUGGGUGGCGGACGGGUGAGUAACGCGUAAAGAACUUGCCUCACAGAUAGGGACAACAUUUGGAAACGAAUGCUAAUACCUGAUAUUAUGAUUAUAUGGCAUCGUAUAAUUAUGAAAGCUAUAUGCGCUGUGAGAGAGCUUUGCGUCCCGUUAGCUAGUUGGAGAGGUAACGGCUCACCAAGGCGAUGAUGGGUAGCCGGCCUGAGAGGGUGAUCGGCCACAAGGGGACUGAGACACGGCCCUUACUCCUACGGGAGGCAGCAGUGGGGAAUAUUGGACAAUGGACCAAGAGUCUGAUCCAGCAAUUCUGUGUGCACGAUGAAGUUUUUCGGAAUGUAAAGUGCUUUCAGUUGGGAAGAAAAAAAUGACGGUACCAACAGAAGAAGUGACGGCUAAAUACGUG
Molecule: ribosomal RNA, 454 nt
Filed under: uncultured bacterium
Lineage: Bacteria
Description: partial 16S ribosomal RNA
Rfam family: Bacterial small subunit ribosomal RNA
Source: RNAcentral